CACGUAGGGUCCGAGCGUUGUCCGGAGUUACUGGGCGUAAAGCGCGCGCAGGCGGUCGCGCACAUCGGCGGUGAAAGCCCCCGCUCAACGGGGAGGUCCGUCGAGAUGGCGCGACUGGAGGCAGGAGAGGCGGUGGAAUUCCGGUGUAGUGGUGAAAUGCGUAGAGAUCCGGAGGAACACCAGUGGCGAAGGCGGCCGCCGUG
RNAcentral lists this ribosomal RNA (203 nucleotides) under uncultured bacterium. RNAcentral describes it as "partial 16S ribosomal RNA". It matches the Rfam family "Bacterial small subunit ribosomal RNA", at positions 524 to 732 of the family's 1533-position model. The record is from RNAcentral.